AUAGGGCAACUCUUAGUAAAUAUAAAGGUGUGGAGAUAAUACCAUGCAACUUAUCUGAUCAUAAUGGAAUGAAACUGGAAAUCAAUGAUAAAAGAAGGAAGGAAAAAUCCUGCAUCACCUGGAAAAUGAACAAUAUGUUACUGAAUGAUCAAUGGGUUACAGAAGACAUAAAGGAGGAAAUCAAAAAAUUCUUGGAGAUAAAUGAAAAUACAGACACAACAUAUCGGAAUCUAUGGGACGCAAUGAAAGCAGUUUUAAGAGGGAAAUUCAUUUCCUGGAGUUCAUUCCUUAAAAAAAGGAAAAACCAACAAAUAAAUGAACUCACACUUCAUCUCAAAACCCUAGAAAAGGAAGAGCAAAACAACAGCAAAUGUAGUAGUAGAAGGCAAGAAAUAAUUAAAAUCAGAGCGGAAAUCAACGAAAUUGAAACAAAAAAAAACAUUGAAAAAAUUGAUAAAACAAAAAGUUGGUUCUUUGAAAAAAUAAAUAAGAUCGACAGACCAUUAGCCAUGCUAACGAAGAGAAG
This 526-nucleotide long non-coding RNA is filed under the name Marmota monax (woodchuck). Lineage: Eukaryota; Metazoa; Chordata; Mammalia; Rodentia; Sciuridae. The record is from RNAcentral.